Molecule: long non-coding RNA, 275 nt
Filed under: Bos taurus (domestic cattle)
Lineage: Eukaryota; Metazoa; Chordata; Mammalia; Artiodactyla; Bovidae
Description: long non-coding RNA NONBTAT018224
Source: RNAcentral
CAACAGUCCACCAAACACUGUAACAUCAAAGUCAAUUUUCUCAUUCACCUAAGCUCCUUCUAGUCCCAAACAAGUCCUUGGUUAUUUUUAAAUUAUGCCAGCUCUAAAUCAUAGCUAUUUAACAAAACCAUCUCCAAACUAAAUACAAACUGGCCUCAAAAUGGAUGUGAUAUUAGUAUAGAAUAAUAAAAAUAUAAAUAGCUUUGUUUGCUGAAGGUAUAAUUUCCUGUCCUUAUCUUAGAGGGCAGAGACCAUGUUUUCCUUGACUUGCAUGA